Non-coding RNA from Paramisgurnus dabryanus, 215 nucleotides. Lineage: Eukaryota; Metazoa; Chordata; Actinopteri; Cypriniformes; Cobitidae. The record is from RefSeq and is a predicted model, not a curated record.
AGACGGUUCAACAUAGUCCUUCUCACGACAGCCAUAAAACAUGUGAUGACCUGUAUGAGAAUCUUAGGAUUGCUGAUGGUAGCUGUGAUGAAUCCCACCUGAGUUCUCCUUUCUAUGAGAAUAUUAAAAAAGAUGCUGUAGAGGUCAGUCAAACACAUCAAACCAUGUAAAAAGCCAAUAAAAGCUUUGGGUGGGUGGAGCUCUCUGUGAUUGAC